Molecule: ribosomal RNA, 468 nt
Filed under: uncultured bacterium
Lineage: Bacteria
Description: partial 16S ribosomal RNA
Rfam family: Bacterial small subunit ribosomal RNA
Source: RNAcentral
GACGAACGCUGGCGGCGUGCUUAACACAUGCAAGUCGAACGGAAAGGCCCUGCUUUUGUGGGGUGCUCGAGUGGCGAACGGGUGAGUAACACGUGAGUAACCUGCCCUUGACUUUGGGAUAACUUCAGGAAACUGGGGCUAAUACCGGAUAGGAGCUCCUGCUGCAUGGGGGGGGUUGGAAAGUUUCGGCGGUUGGGGAUGGACUCGCGGCUUAUCAGCUUGUUGGUGGGGUAGUGGCUUACCAAGGCUUUGACGGGUAGCCGGCCUGAGAGGGUGACCGGCCACAUUGCGACUGCGAUACGGCCCAGACUCCUACGGGAGGCAGCAGUGGGGAGUAUUGCACAAUGGGCGGAAGCCUGAUGCAGCAACGCCGCGUGCGGGAUGACGGCCUUCGGGUUGUAAACCGCUUUCGCCUGUGACGAAGCGUGAGUGACGGUAAUGGGUAAAGAAGCACCGGCUAACUACGUG